RNAcentral lists this ribosomal RNA (429 nucleotides) under Acidobacteriota bacterium. RNAcentral describes it as "Acidobacteria bacterium partial 16S ribosomal RNA". It matches the Rfam family "Bacterial small subunit ribosomal RNA", at positions 355 to 776 of the family's 1533-position model. Lineage: Bacteria; Pseudomonadati; Acidobacteriota. The record is from RNAcentral.
UGGGGAAUUUUGGACAAUGGGGGAAACCCUGAUCCAGCCAUCCCGCGUGUGCGAUGAAGGCCUUCGGGUUGUAAAGCACUUUUGGCAGGAAAGAAACGUCAUGGGUUAAUACCCCGUGAAACUGACGGUACCUGCAGAAUAAGCACCGGCUAACUACGUGCCAGCAGCCGCGGUAAUACGUAGGGUGCAAGCGUUAAUCGGAAUUACUGGGCGUAAAGCGUGCGCAGGCGGUUCGGAAAGAAAGAUGUGAAAUCCCAGAGCUCAACUUUGGAACUGCAUUUUUAACUACCGGGCUAGGGGGUGUCAGAGGGAGGUGGAAUUCCGCGUGUAGCAGUGAAAUGCGUAGGUAUGGGGAGGAACACCGAUGGCGAAGGCAGCCUCCUGGGAUAACACUGACGCUUAUGCACGAAAGCGUGGGGAGCAAACAGG